Long non-coding RNA from Planococcus citri (citrus mealybug), 4837 nucleotides. RefSeq lists it as uncharacterized. Lineage: Eukaryota; Metazoa; Arthropoda; Insecta; Hemiptera; Pseudococcidae. The record is from RefSeq and is a predicted model, not a curated record. The transcript is spliced from 10 exons.
CUACUGGUUCCGUCUUUAUUGGCGGUUAUUUUCCAAGUUUUUUGUAUAAAUUAAUUAAUUUUUUUACGCGAUUCAUUUUCCUGAAUUGAAUCCCUGUCGAAAGAACGUAUUGUGAUUGGUCCAAAGUAGGAUUCGCUUACCUACGGUUACGCAGGAUGAGUCAUCUCUGAAUUACGUGCGUAAAAUUGGCAAAAUCGACGAUGCUACUAUAUUUUAAAGGAUUUCAGUUCAAUUUCCAGGAAUGAAAUAAAGUCAAACUCAUGCGUUGAAUAGUAUUAAAAGUGUGCCGAUGCUUUCUGAGUUCUGAAGUGAUUUGAUCGACUCGAAUUCUGUCAGUUGUGUUUUGAUUCGUCUUCGUUACCUCUCGAAGAAUGAAAAGGUGACUUCAUCGGUGAUGAAAGAGAACGAUGAAAAUUCAAUUGAACUCGUAACCGACUAGACCAGACCAGACCAUAAUUUCAUCAUCAGUACCUACUGUUUCAUUUUGUUUGACAUUCGAUGGCUUUGUGAAGAAUGAAGAUUGAUAUUGGCAGUUGGCACCUUAGAAUACCUACCUAAUGCUGCGAAUGCUGUAAAAUCUCAAUCAAGCUUCACGUAUCGCGGGAUCAGAAAUUUACUAAUAACGACUUUGUGAAGAAUGAAGAUUGAUAUUGGUACCUUGAAAUAAUGCUGCGAUUGCCGUAACAUCUCAAUCAAGCUUCACGUAUAAUGUAGGAUCAGAAAUUUACUAAAGAUUUCUCAUCGUUACAUGAAGACCUGUGAUGCUGCAGAAUUCUACUUGGAUCCUGAAAGAUGUACGAGUAGAAUUUGAUUAUCAUGUUUCAGAAGUUGAGGAGAAUUCACUUAUUACUUGAUGGCUUUGCGAAGAACGAAGAUUGAUAUUGGUACCUUAGAAUAAUGUUGCGGUUACUGUAAAAUUUUAAUUGAGCUUCGAAGUGCUGCGAUUGUAGUUACGUGAUGUUGAAGGAUCGGAUAUUUAUUAACGAUGGCUUUGUGCAGAAUGAAGAUUGAUAUUAUUAGUAUGUACUUCAGAAUGAUGCUGCAAUAUUCCGGUCAAAUACAUAAUAUUAAGCUUCGUGAUGAUGCAGGAUGAGAAAUUUAUCUUGCGGAUCGCUUACGACCGAUGUUUAAAAUGGUGUUCGCCGACGAAUGCUUGCUUAUACGUAUCAAAGCGCUGUUUACGGAGAAACGCUACCAGUAGUCGAUUUCGCCGAACAUUACACUUUCGAAGAACGAGUCGAUCGUACAGACCUGAGAUUUCGCAGCCUGCUUCUUCGCAAGAUGUCACUUCGUAUCUAGCUGCUAGAUUUGCUAUGGUGAUACCGAGCUCCAUUCUUGUCGAGAUUUAUUACGAGCAGUAGUUCAUCGAUUUGCGUCCUGAUGGUUUCCUGGUAGCAUAUAUGCAAAUGGUUCGAAACAUUUGAAAAUUGUUUUACAUAUAUGAAUGAAGCAACGUACUUACCUGAAAUGAUGUGAAAAUAACUUCCAGUUACGAUCGCAGAAAAACCUCUUACUACGUAUUAGCGUACGAUUCGUUUUCUGGAAAUACGAUCGAAUUAACCACCGUUGCUUCCCCCUCCUCUCGCCUAUUAGCUUAUUCGACGCAAGAAUUUUGAACGAUUUUUACGAUAGACUAGACUAGACACACGUGCCUCAACUCUCAAAACUUUCAAUUUUCGAAGUGAACUUGAAAUAUUACGGAAAUAAUUGGAAAUAUUAUCUAUGCGAGCUCAUUAAUAGCAAAUACUCGAUUAUAUUUACCAUGUGCUUACAAGACAUAUUAAGCCACCUAUUAUACGUUGUCAAGUUCCCUUUGUCCCUUCAUCACUCCAUUGAAGUUUCUUUUUCGAGCUACGCGUCAUUUAUGUGAUAUUAAUAUCGAAACCAUAUCGAAACCUUAUUGUUAAUGUAUGUUUAGAAAUAUUAACUUAGAUGUUUUACCUGUUUGCCACCACCCCCCCCCCUUUCGCCUCAUUUUUUGGGGAUGAUGAUUUCGAAUGCACGAAUUUGAACUGCCACUCUCUGAUUUAUUGCGGUAAACGCUCGAUAGCAUUUUAAUUUCUCCCUUCGACCGCCUUAUUUUUUUCAAAUUUGAUUUUGGAUUUGCAAAAAUCGACUCCCACUCUCUGAUAUCGGUACGUAUGCUUGAUAGAAGUUUCAAUUUUGAUUCAACCUCCCCCCCCCCACCCAUCAUGGGGGAUAUGAUUUUGGAUGUACAUACCUACUUACGAACAUGCUUGAUAGAAGUUUCAAUUUUGAUGCAACCUCCCUCCCUUCCUUCCUUCCCCAUGUUUUGGGGAUUUCAUUUUUGAUUUACGAAUUAGAAAUCUCGCUAUCUCUGAUGUUGACGCAUGCUUGAUGCGAUUUUCAAAUUUGAUUCAACCUCUCCCCCCCUCCUCCUCCCACUGUUUUGGAGAUUUGAUUUUGGAUCUACGAAUUUGAGCUCCCACUCUCUGAUGUUGAUAUUUGUACAUGGUUGAUGGAAGUUUCAAUUUUGAUUCAGCCCUCCUCCUCCUCCUCCUCCUCCCAUUCCCUCCCCCCCCCCCCAAUUUUUUUGGGAAGGGUUUGAUUUUGGAUUUACGAAUUUGAAUUCGCGUUCUCUGAUGCUAGUGUACAGAAUUAUGUUUUGAAUUUUGAUAUCGUUAUUGAUUUUUCUUUGAUGGCGUUUUGAUUCGAUCCCCCUUCGCGAUAUUUUUUCAUAAUUGAAUUUGAUACUGCCACACUUUCGAUGCAAUUUCGUUUCUCUUCCCCUACUCCAUUGUUUUCAGAAUUUGAUUUUUGAUUUCUGAUACGUCAGAUUAAUUCUUUGGUAGAGUUCCCGCCCUCCGCCCUGUUCUUUUUCAUGAUUUGUUCUGAUAUUGUUAGGUAUCCUAUUUAGGGAAUUUUGAAUCCUCCCCCCCCCUCUUUAUUUUUUUGGAAUCUGAUACCUACUGAAUCGGUGAAUUUGAACUCCCAUUCUCUCGUUUCAUUCGUGAUAAAUAAUUCGAUUCGCGUAAUAAUUGAGUCUUCGUUGUUUUUUUUGUUCAAUUUAAAAAAAAAAAAUUUCGCGAUUCGAUUGUACGUAUUAUUUGCUCGCGAAAAUCAGCGUUCGUUGUUCGAUUUUUGAUUUUACGAUCGAGAUUCGGGGUUUCGGAGGUGUUAUUUAUGUACAAAACCGGUCGCAGAUCACAAUAAUUUUCUCCAGGGGUGUGAUGUUUGCCUGUAGCGUUGGUGGAGAGUGUAUUUUUGCGAGCAGUUGAACGUUUUCGAGUGGUGUGAGUGUUCGAUGUUUUCGAGUGGUGCUAGUGGUGCGAGUGUGUAGGGAAUGCGGUUGUGGCUGGUCUUGUUAAGUUACUGUCCGUCCUUGCCUGUUAGCGCAUCAACCCACAACCGUACUUUUUCCACUGUUUCACGUCAACUUGGCGACGUGAUCCCUUGAAAAUUUACUGUUUUCUGAUAGCAUGGCGCCUACCUUAGCCAUUUACGUAGUUCUGCAUUCGCGAAUCCACGUACGUACUCGCGCGGCGUAUCGUGGAGUUCACUGUAUUCGGCCGGUACGGAGCUGAUCAGCUGGAUUUCAUGCAGCAUCUACACGAAGAAACGCAUCCACGGUUCACGGGCUCUCGCUCGCAGGUUCCGUCUCGAUGGUCAUCAAAGCCGUAUGGAGCAGGGGGAGCGUCAUUCGGCGACUUGUCCGCUACCGUGCUUCGGCACAGCGGCCUGCUCAAUGGUGACGUAGACGUCUGGCUCACUCCUGCGACGUUCAGUGGGGUCGUCAUCAUUACGGUGGCGGCUUCGACUGUAUAUCCAAGUCACAAUAAGGGGUUGUCGUAAGAGGUUACGACUCAUACGGUGGAAACGUUUGCGUUCCAUCUAGUGGUGCGAGCCGUGGCCUAUGACCAGCUCAAUCUGCGAACCUUACUUCCGGGCUGAUGAAGAUGUGAGCGGGGAUGGUUAAUGUCAGCCUAUCCUGCGUAACGAUAUUGCCAUUUGCCCGCCGUCUACGAUCAGUCCUGCCUUCAUCUGGAUCCCCAGAGAUUCGUCUCUCCGAUCCAACCCCACGCAGUAAGUGGUGCACUGUAGGUUUCGCAUCACUUGCUCGCGUGAGAGUGAGUGCUUUUUGAGAGAGAAAAUGUCAAAGGCUGACCUGGUUUUGUUGCUUCGGUCAACUUGCCAGGCAGGUGAGCGUGUGUGUGGAAAGGUGUAUGGUGAUCUGGACUGCGUAUAGGAGGUCUGAUUGUGAUUGAAUUUUUGCUUGAAAUUUCGAUGGAAAAUCUCUUUAAUUCGGACGAUGAUUGGUUGAAAAUUUUCGGUUGAACUUUGAUAUUGGGAAAAUUGUCGAAGUUGUGGAGUAUUUGAUCGCGUUGAAAUGAAAAGUGUAAUCGAACGUGUUAUUUUUUUGAAAAAACAGAAGGUGAUGGGUUGAUAGUUGUUUUAAAAUACGAGUUGCAAAUUGCAAUACCUAUUCGAGAAUUUCGUCGCAUUGAUGUAUUUAAGUAUGUGAAAAAUCAAUUUUCGUACGUGCUACUCGAGUGCAAAAAUAUUGAAAGAAUACAGAUUAUAAACCCACUCUCUCCCUCCCUUAAGUAUACUUGUUGAAACUUUCAUGUUUUUUUUUUUUUAAAGAGUAAGUUUUGUUAUCUUUGUUAUUUUUGUUGUUUUGUUACCUAUGAUUGUUUAUUCGGCGGUCUAUGUUGCGUCUUGUAUUGUAUUGUAUUGCAUUCUAUUGUAUUAUUAUUAGUCAAGUGCAAUUUAAAUGUAAAGAUCGAUCAAGGUUUUUCACGUCGAGCGGCCGGCGUGUUUUUUUUUUAGCCCAGAUCGAUCUAUUGUAAUGCCAACGUGAAAAUAUUGUCGUCGG